GCGCCUACAGCUUCGUUGAUACAGCCGGAUAUACGAACGAAGUGUACCCGUACCUAUCAGGCUGUUUUCUGUCUCUCUCGCACACUGACGCGUCCCGCCAGGCGAUUUUCUGUCUCUCUCGCAUACUUUAGCGGGCUCCCUGGCUGUUUUCGGUCUCUUUCGCACAUUGACGCGUCCUGCCAGACGAUUUUCUGUCUCUCUCGCACACUUACGCUAAGCCCGCCUGGCGAUUUUCUGUCUCUCUCGCACACUUUAGCGGGCUCCCUGGCUGUUUUCUGUCUCUCUCGCACACUGACGCGUCCCGCCAGGCGAUUUUCUGUCUCUCUCGCACACUUUAGCGGGCUCCCUGGCUGUUUUCUGUCUCUCUCGCACACUGACGCGUCCCGCCAGGCGAUUUUCUGUCUCUCUCGCACACUUACGCUGAGGCCGCCUGGCGAUUGUCUGUCUCUCUCGCACACUUUAGCGGGCUCCCCGGCGAUUAUCGGUCUCUCUCGCACAUUGACGCGUCCCGCCAUGCGAUUUUCUGUCUCUCUCGCACACUUUAGCGGCUCCCUGGCUCUUUUCUGUCUCUCUCGCACACUGACGCGUCCCGCCUGGCGAUUUUCUGUCUCUCUCGCACACUUUAGCGGGCUCCCUGGCUGUUUUCUGUCUCUCUCGCACACUUACGCUAAGCCCGCCUGGCGAUUUUCUGUUCCUCUUGCACACUUUAGCGGGCUCCCUGGCUGUUUUCUGUCUCUGUCGCACACUGACACGUCCCGCCAGGCGAUUUUUUGUCUCUCUGGCACAUUUCAGCGGGCUCCCUGGCUGUUUUCUAUCUUGCUCGCACAACCAUCUUUUUGCACGUACCCUGUUACCAAAUUGGAAAUUCAUCGGAAUUACAAGCUAUGUCGGUCGGCCUUAUGGAAGUACUCUAAUGGAAGUUUCACGAUUCAAUUGUAAAUCAGUGGAAAUUUUCAUUAAAAAUUUCUCGCGGGUAGAAAAAAUUAAUGAUUAGAGCUUUCAAAAUAAUUAAUUAAUUACUUUGCAUAGUCAUUCAACAGUCUUCAAGUUGGCAUUACAGGGAUAGAAAUAGUGAGGAAAGUUUUCAUGUUGAUGUGAUGUGUAAAACUAAUUGUAUAUCUAGUGAAAUGCAGGCGUUUUUUUUGCUCUUUCUCCAUAACUUCAUGAUUCAUCUGAACUAUUCAAAUUGCACUUUACUGAGAGGAGAGGACAGCGCUUAUAUAGACACACUUUUGCUCAGAGCAUUUUGCUCUGCAAUAUGCUUGCACAGGGCCGAAUUAAGGGGGUAGCCACAUGGGCCGCGGUCCAUGGCGGCAAAUCGAGGGGGCGGCAAAUUUUGCAAUUUUUUUAAAUGUAGGUAUAAAAAAAA
Molecule: long non-coding RNA, 1369 nt
Filed under: Bemisia tabaci
Lineage: Eukaryota; Metazoa; Arthropoda; Insecta; Hemiptera; Aleyrodidae
Description: lncRNA ENSSSA3NGG005318
Source: RNAcentral